This 246-nucleotide ribosomal RNA is filed under the name Clostridioides difficile. RNAcentral describes it as "partial 16S ribosomal RNA". It matches the Rfam family "Bacterial small subunit ribosomal RNA", at positions 1145 to 1390 of the family's 1533-position model. Lineage: Bacteria; Bacillati; Bacillota; Clostridia; Peptostreptococcales; Peptostreptococcaceae. The record is from RNAcentral.
GAGACUGCCAGGGAUAACCUGGAGGAAGGUGGGGAUGACGUCAAAUCAUCAUGCCCCUUAUGCUUAGGGCUACACACGUGCUACAAUGGGUAGUACAGAGGGUUGCCAAGCCGUAAGGCGGAGCUAAUCCCUUAAAGCUACUCUCAGUUCGGAUUGUAGGCUGAAACUCGCCUACAUGAAGCUGGAGUUACUAGUAAUCGCAGAUCAGAAUGCUGCGGUGAAUGCGUUCCCGGGUCUUGUACACAC